CCUACGGGCGGCAGCAGUGGGGAAUAUUGCACAAUGGGGGAAACCCUGAUGCAGCGACGCCGCGUGAGUGAAGAAGUAUUUCGGUAUGUAAAGCUCUAUCAGCAGGGAAGAAAAUGACGGUACCUGACUAAGAAGCCCCGGCUAACUACGUGCCAGCAGCCGCGGUAAUACGUAGGGGGCAAGCGUUAUCCGGAUUUACUGGGUGUAAAGGGAGCGUAGACGGCAGCGCAAGUCUGGAGUGAAAUGCCGGGGCCCAACCCCGGAACUGCUUUGGAAACUGUGCAGCUGGAGUGCAGGAGAGGUAAGCGGAAUUCCUAGUGUAGCGGUGAAAUGCGUAGAUAUUAGGAGGAACACCAGUGGCGAAGGCGGCUUACUGGACUGUAACUGACGUUGAGGCUCGAAAGCGUGGGGAGCAAACAGGAUUAGAUACCCGGGUAGUC
RNAcentral lists this ribosomal RNA (440 nucleotides) under uncultured bacterium. Its description in RNAcentral is "partial 16S ribosomal RNA". It matches the Rfam family "Bacterial small subunit ribosomal RNA", at positions 338 to 795 of the family's 1533-position model. The record is from RNAcentral.